RNAcentral lists this unclassified non-coding RNA (430 nucleotides) under soil metagenome. RNAcentral describes it as "partial contains 5.8S ribosomal RNA, internal transcribed spacer 2, and large subunit ribosomal RNA". The stretch from base 1 to 120 matches the Rfam family "5.8S ribosomal RNA", at positions 35 to 154 of the family's 154-position model. The record is from RNAcentral.
GAUGAAGAACGCAGCGAAAUGCGAUACGUAAUGUGAAUUGCAGAAUUCAGUGAAUCAUCGAAUCUUUGAACGCAUAUUGCGCUCUCUGGUAUUCCGGAGAGCAUGCUUGUUUGAGUAUCAGUAAACACCUCAACUCCCUUUUCUUUUUUGAAAUUGGAGCUGGACUUGAGUGAUCCCAACGCUUUCUUCCAAGAAAGUGGCGGGUUGCUUGAAAUGCAGGUGCAGCUGGACUUUUCUCUGAGCUAUAAGCAUAUCUAUUUAGUCUGCCUAAAAAACAGAUUAUUACCUUUGCUGCAGCUAACAUAAAGGAGACUAGUUCUUGUGCUGACUGAUGCAGGAUUCACAGAGACAGCUUCGGCUGACUUUGUAAACUCGAUCUCAAAUCAAGUAAGACUACCCGCUGAACUUAAGCAUAUCAAUAAGCGGAGGA